UUUAAUCUCACUCUGCCUAACGUCUGAGGUCAUUCUCCUCGAUCAAUCUUUAGUUUUUUCCCCUAAAGAAUCGUAGUUUUUUCUCCAGUAAAGCUUCUUCUCUUUCUUCUACCACCUGAUUCAUAAACACCGAAGAGUUGAAAAUUUUCUUUUAAAAUUUCAUAGCAUCUUUGCCAAUCUCUCAAAACUAACUGUUCCACUUCUUUUAUCACCAAACGCUUGGGUCCGGCCCGACAUCUCUUCUGUUCCUUCUUCCUGUUUUUUUAAGGUUUCUCUUCUUCCAAUGGCUAGAGUUAAAAUCCCUUCCAAGAAACCCAAAAAAGGUCCAGAACCACCUUUUCAAAGUGAGUUUGAAUCCGUGGAGCUCUCUGAUUAUUCUUCCUCAAAAUCUCAAUAUGCUUCAGUCCCUAUCUCUUCAGAGGAACAUCUCACUAAGUAUCAAAAGGAGAAAGCCAGGGGGGAAAAGGAAAAUGGACAACCAAUCUACAUUUCCACCACCAUAGAAAACAAAGCAUCAGCCAGUGUUGGUGGAACGCCCAUUACUUGAAUGCAGGCAUAUUGAUUGGGAUGUUUUUGAAUAUAUUGAAUUUCCUAUGAAAAGUCUAUUUGAACAUCAAUAAUGGAGCGAGUAUUGUGGCACUGCUGAUAUUCAUUGUCUUGAAUUGGUUCAAGAAUUUUACACUACUUUGAAAAGAAAUCACACCUAGAGAAAAAUUUGAAUUUAAGCAUAGAGGUCUUAAAGUAUAAAUUAUCCUUGAAUGAUUUGCUGUUGCUUUUGGAGUGCCAAAUAAAGGAAAUAAGAUAGGGAGCAAUAAGGAUAUUGCUUACAUUAAGGGAUUUAACAAAACUGAUUUUGAAAAUGAAAUAUUUGAGGACAAUAUGCCUUGAAAUAUUUUAUGGCACCUCAUGUCCAAGACUUUGUUGAAUUUGCCUUGAUAUUGAAAAUGAUGGUGAAACCUAGCCCUUAUCAAAAGCUACCCUAUGUUGUGCCUUUAAUUUCUUUAUUUCAUAACCUUGGCUUUGAUAUUGAAAAUGAAAAGCACAAGACAAAUUUGAUUGCCAUACGGGAGCUUCAAAGUGAUGAUGAUAGGAGAAAGAAUAAAUUAGAAAAAGGUAAGGGAAAAAUUGAUACCUCUGAAACUCAAGUGCAUUUGUCUCGAGGGAAAAGAAAUAUGAAAGAGCUUAAAGGCAUAAAGGAAAUUUCCUAUUCUAAUGUGAAUUCUGUUGAAGUGUUUAUGGAAACUCAAAAGGCUUUCAUGGUCAAACUUGAAGGUAAAAUUGAUUUGGUUUUUUCCAAGCUUGAAUAUUUUUAAAAAGAGAUUGAAAAUUUGAAGCAAAGCAAAGAAAAGGUAUUGCAAGUGAAACGAAUCUGAAUGAUGAUAUUGAUGCAAGCAAUGACGGUACAGCUGCGGGUGAUUCCAAGGAUGGUAAAGAUGAUAGCGCUGAUGUGGAGCAUUCUGAUCCUUUGAAGGAUUCUGAUGAUAGGAUAUUUAUUACAUACAUGUAUAUAUAUUUAUACAUACACACAUCUGUUUUUAUUCUUAUUUAGAGAUUCAAUUGAGUUUUGUCAUUAUCAAAAAGGAAAAGAUUGUUGACCUUAUAGCUCAAAAUUAGCAUUGAUUUUAAUGAUAACAAAACUUAACUA
Molecule: long non-coding RNA, 1645 nt
Filed under: Manihot esculenta (cassava)
Lineage: Eukaryota; Viridiplantae; Streptophyta; Magnoliopsida; Malpighiales; Euphorbiaceae
Description: long non-coding RNA (MESC_LNC005420)
Source: RNAcentral